CUAUUAUGCAGUCGAACGAACUCUGGUAAUGAUUGGUGCUUGCAUCAUGAAUUACAUUUGAGUGAGUGGCGAACUGGUGAGUAACACGUGGGAAACCUGCCCAGAAGCGGGGGAUAACACCUGGAAACAGAUGCUAAUACCGCAUAACAACUUGGACCGCAUGGUCCGAGUUUGAAAGAUGGCUUCGGCUAUCACUUUUGGAUGGUCCCGCGGCGUAUUAGCUAGAUGGUGAGGUAACGGCUCACCAUGGCAAUGAUACGUAGCCGACCUGAGAGGGUAAUCGGCCACAUUGGGACUGAGACACGGCCCAAACUCCUACGGGAGGCAGCAGUAGGGAAUCUUCCACAAUGGACGAAAGUCUGAUGGAGCAACGCCGCGUGAGUGAAGAAGGGUUUCGGCUCGUAAAACUCUGUUGUUAAAGAAGAACAUAUCUGAGAGUAACUGUUCAGGUAUUGACGGUAUUUAACCAGAAAGCCACGGCUAACUACGUGCCAGCAGCCGCGGUAAUACGUAGGUGGCAAGCGUUGUCCGGAUUUAUUGGGCGUAAAGCGAGCGCAGGCGGUUUUUUAAGUCUGAUGUGAAAGCCUUCGGCUCAACCGAAGAAGUGCAUCGGAAACUGGGAAACUUGAGUGCAGAAGAGGACAGUGGAACUCCAUGUGUAGCGGUGAAAUGCGUAGAUAUAUGGAAGAACACCAGUGGCGAAGGCGGCUGUCUGGUCUGUAACUGACGCUGAGGCUCGAAAGUAUGGGUAGCAAACAGGAUUAGAUACCCUGGUAGUCCAUACCGUAAACGAUGAAUGCUAAGUGUUGGAGGGUUUCCGCCCUUCAGUGCUGCAGCUAACGCAUUAAGCAUUCCGCCUGGGGAGUACGGCCGCAAGGCUGAAACUCAAAGGAAUUGACGGGGGCCCGCACAAGCGG
RNAcentral lists this ribosomal RNA (917 nucleotides) under Lactiplantibacillus plantarum. RNAcentral describes it as "bacterial SSU rRNA". It matches the Rfam family "Bacterial small subunit ribosomal RNA", at positions 48 to 932 of the family's 1533-position model. The record is from RNAcentral. Lineage: Bacteria; Bacillati; Bacillota; Bacilli; Lactobacillales; Lactobacillaceae.